AAUAAAAUUAUUUAUGGUUUAAAAAUUUAUUAUAAAUUUAUUUUACAUAUAAAUUUUAGUGUUAAUUUUUAAUUUAUUUAAAUAAUAAUUAAUAUUUAUUUGUAGUAAUUAGAAUUAAAAAUUUAAGUAAUUAAGAUUUAGUAAUAUUUAAAUUAAUAAUAAAUUUUGUGCCAGCAGUUGCGGUUAUACAAAAAUUAAAUUAAAUUUUUUUAGGGAUUAAUUAAUAAUAGAUUAUAUAAUAAAAUUAAAAUUUAAAUUAUUAAGUGAAAUUUUAAUUUAUGAAAAUUUUAUAUUGAAUUAUGAAUUAAAAAAUUUUAUUAAAAACUAGGAUUAGAUACCCUAUUAUUAAAAAUUUAAAUUAAUAAUACUAAAAUAGUAUAUAAUUAUUUAUAAAAACUUAAAUAAUUUGGCGGUAUUUUAGUUUAUUUAGAGGAAUCUGUUUAUUAAUUGAUAUUCCACGAAUAAAUUUACUUAAUUUAUUUAAUUUUGUAUAUCGUUGUUAAAAAAAUAUUUUAAAAUAAUAAUAAUAUUUUAAUUUUUAUAUUAAAAGUUAAAUCAGAUCAAGAUGCAGAUUACAAUUAAGAAUAUAAUGGAUUACAAUAAAUUUAUUUAAUUGGAUGUUAUUUUUAAAAAUUAAUUGAAAUUGGAUUUAAAUGUAAUUUUAUUUAAUUUAUUAAAAUGAUUUUAAUUUAAAAUAUGUACAUAUUGCCCGUCGCUUUCAUUAAUAAAUUGAAAUAAGUCGUAACAAAGUAGAGGUACUGGAAAGUGUUUCUAGAAAGAGUA
RNAcentral lists this non-coding RNA (783 nucleotides) under Bombyx mori (domestic silkworm). The record is from RNAcentral. Lineage: Eukaryota; Metazoa; Arthropoda; Insecta; Lepidoptera; Bombycidae.